AGUUUAACAGGACAAAUAGUUUAAACCUUAAAACAUAACACUGAAAAUGUUAAAAUGACCGUAGUCUUUCUCCA
This 74-nucleotide transfer RNA is filed under the name Lanceolaria gladiola. RNAcentral's name for it is "tRNA-Phe". The stretch from base 10 to 74 matches the Rfam family "tRNA". Rfam says of the family: Transfer RNA (tRNA) molecules are approximately 80 nucleotides in length. Their secondary structure includes four short double-helical elements and three loops (D, anti-codon, and T loops). Further hydrogen bonds mediate the characteristic L-shaped molecular structure. tRNAs have two regions of fundamental functional importance: the anti-codon, which is responsible for specific mRNA codon recognition, and the 3' end, to which the tRNAs corresponding amino acid is attached (by aminoacyl-tRNA synthetases). tRNAs cope with the degeneracy of the genetic code in two manners: having more than one tRNA (with a specific anti-codon) for a particular amino acid; and 'wobble' base-pairing, i.e. permitting non-standard base-pairing at the 3rd anti-codon position. Lineage: Eukaryota; Metazoa; Mollusca; Bivalvia; Unionida; Unionidae. The record is from RNAcentral.